CCCUUAGAUGUUCUGGGCAGCACGCGCGCUACAAUGGUCUUCGCAAACGGAUGCAUUCUCGAAGGAGAAUGCCAAUCUUGGAAUCUAUGCCUUGGUCGGGACAGUUGCUUGCAAUUUUUCGACUCGAACCAGGAAUUCCUUGUAAUCGUGAUUCAUCACAUCACGAUGAAUACGUCCCUGCCCUUUGUACACACCGCCCGUCGCUCCUACCGAUCGAAGAGUUAGGUGAAUUGUUUUGAUCGAUUAGAUUUGACUAUGGUCAACUCUCGUUGUGAAAUUCUGUGAAUCUGACUGUUUAGAGGAAGGAAAAGUCGUAACA
This 319-nucleotide ribosomal RNA is filed under the name uncultured eukaryote. Its description in RNAcentral is "partial 18S ribosomal RNA". It matches the Rfam family "Eukaryotic small subunit ribosomal RNA", at positions 1470 to 1796 of the family's 1831-position model. The record is from RNAcentral.